Gossypium raimondii (Peruvian cotton) is the source of this 107-nucleotide small nucleolar RNA. It matches the Rfam family "Plant small nucleolar RNA R71". Rfam says of the family: R71 is a member of the C/D box family of snoRNAs containing the C (UGAUGA) and D (CUGA) box motifs. Multiple nearly identical copies of this snoRNA have been identified in Arabidopsis, and it is thought to function as a 2'-O-ribose methylation guide for 18S ribosomal RNA. The record is from Rfam. Lineage: Eukaryota; Viridiplantae; Streptophyta; Magnoliopsida; Malvales; Malvaceae.
AACCCAUGAUGAUGACACAUUCUCAAAAGAUCCUUAAAUAUCUCUCAUGCGUCAUAUAAUGUCUCUAUAUCAAAUUGAGAAAAAGAAGAGAUGUCGUUUCUCAACUU